GUGUCAGCAGCCGCGGUAAUACGAAAGGGGCUAGCGUUGUUCGGAAUUACUGGGCGUAAAGCGCGCGUAGGCGGCCUUGCAAGUUGGGGGUGAAAUCCCGGAGCUCAACUCCGGAACUGCCUUCAAAACUGCAAAGCUAGAGGAUGCGAGAGGUGAGCGGAAUUCCGAGUGUAGAGGUGAAAUUCGUAGAUAUUCGGAAGAACACCAGUGGCGAAGGCGGCUCACUGGCGCAUUUCUGACGCUGAGGCGCGAAAGCGUGGGGAGCAAACAGGAUUAGAUACCCUGGUAGUCCACGCCGUAAACGAUGAGGGCUAGUUGUCGGGCGGCUUGCCGUUCGGUGACGCAGCUAACGCAUUAAGCCCUCCGCCUGGGGAGUACGGUCGCAAGAUUAAAACUCAAAUGAAUUGACGGGG
RNAcentral lists this ribosomal RNA (413 nucleotides) under uncultured prokaryote. Its description in RNAcentral is "bacterial SSU rRNA". It matches the Rfam family "Bacterial small subunit ribosomal RNA", at positions 505 to 918 of the family's 1533-position model. The record is from RNAcentral.